RNAcentral lists this ribosomal RNA (442 nucleotides) under uncultured bacterium. Its description in RNAcentral is "partial 16S ribosomal RNA". It matches the Rfam family "Bacterial small subunit ribosomal RNA", at positions 338 to 795 of the family's 1533-position model. The record is from RNAcentral.
CCUACGGGCGGCAGCAGUGGGGGAUUUUGCACAAUGGGGGAAACCCUGAUGCAGCGACGCCGCGUGGGCGAAGAAGUAUUUCGGUAUGUAAAGCCCUAUCAGCAGGGAAGAAGAAAUGACGGUACCUGAGUAAGAAGCACCGGCUAAAUACGUGACAGCAGCCGCGGUAAUACGUAUGGUGCAAGCGUUAUCCGGGUUUACUGGGUGUAAAGGGGGCGCAGGCGGCACGGUAAGCCUGAUGGGAAAGCCCGCGGCCCAACCGUGGGAAUGCAGUGGGAACUACCGAGCUGGAGUGCCGUAGAGGAAGGCGGAAUUCCAAGUGUAGCGGUGAAAUGCGUAGAUAUAAGGAGGAACACCAGUGGCGAAGGCGGCCUACUGGACUGUGACUGACGCUGAGGCUCGAAAGCGUGGAGAGCAAACAGGAUUAGAUACCCGUGUAGUC